ACAUCACGCCCGGAAGGAAGCGGGCUGCGUUGGAGGGGAAAAGACGCACCAGCAGCCUAGAAUUCGAGGCACUGCAGAGCCGGAAGGGGCCUCGGCGCUGCUCCCUCCGCCCCCUCAUUUCACAAACCGGAAACUGAGACCCAAAGCAAGGAAGGGACUUGGCCAAGGUCAGAGCUCACCUGGGACCACACGAAGAUGAUAACUUGCUAGGAGUUUUGCAAAUGGGUUUGUCUACAGUUUGGUAGAAUUAAAACAUUGUUUUUAGUUCAGAUUUGCAACAGUGGCCGGCUCCCUCUAAUCCACAGUGGUGGAGCACUGUGAUUGACAUUCAGCUGCAAAGCUCUUGCUGGGAAACGCGGUGGCCGAGCCGUCAGCACAGGCGGCAGCUGCCUCCCACACUUAAGACAGGACUUCUAAAGCCACAGUCCCUCAAACGGCAGGCAGGUUUGUGAAUGUUUCCGUGUUCUGAACAUUUUUCUGCAAAAGGGUUCACAGCUUUAAUUGAUUUACAAAGAGACGUACACCAUGGAAGAGAUUGAGAAUCAUUUCCUUAAAGCAACAAGAAUCUAGGCUGGGGAGAAAUCAGAUUUUAGGAACGAGCUGCUAGGCACCGUAGCAGCAUUCAGAGACAUGAAAGCAUUGGAUUGUUUCCUAGAUUUAAGAGCAUAUAUUUUGCAACAUGAAAGGGCUUCUAUGCUCUAGAAUGUAAGUUCCUCAAGGAUAGGGGUCUAGUCUAUCUCUUCACCUAAGGUAUCCUUAGAUCCUGGAUCAGUGCCUGCGCGUAAUCACAGGUGCGAACACACAUGUGAUUAAUUUGUUAGUCUGCACAGCACUUCCCUUUCCAUGCCCACUCCUGCCUGGUCUCCAGCAGUCGUCAGAAUUGCCAUCGUUAAGGAAACCCUGAUGCAAGAAUUGCAAGAAUGACUCUGUUUGUUUGUUUGUUUGUUUGUUUGUUUAUUAAGACGGAGUCUCGCUCUGUCGCCCAGGCUGGAAUGCAGUGGCGCGAUCUCGGCUCACUGCAAACUCCACCUACCGGGUUCACGCCAUUCUCCUGCCUCAGCCUCCCGAGUAGCUGGGACUACAGGCGCCCGCCUGCGCGCCCGGCUAAUUUUUUGUAUUUUUAGUAGAGACGGGGUUUCACCGUGUUAGCCAGGAUGGUCUCGAUCUCCUGACCUCGUGAUCUGCCCGCCUCGGCCUCCCAAAGUGCUGGGGUUACAGGCGUGAGCCACCGCGCCCGGCCAAGAAUGACUUUGUAAAUCAGUGUUGACAUUCAGGACCUUUUUCAUUUCGUGUUAAAGACUGAUCACCCUGGGAAAAUCAAGGCAGUCCAGCCAAACCCCAACUCCCAAUCAAAUGCAGUUUGUAUCGAACCCCACGACUGCCCAGCACCUUUGGGAAGCCCAUUGCUUUCUAUGCAGACGCAGAGCUCCCAGAAAGCACAGGUGGAUGUGCUCAGCUUGCCUUGUGACGUGAAUGCCUGAAAACAGAACAGGACUAAAAA
Molecule: long non-coding RNA, 1501 nt
Filed under: Homo sapiens (human)
Lineage: Eukaryota; Metazoa; Chordata; Mammalia; Primates; Hominidae
Description: non-protein coding lnc-JAM3-3:14
Source: RNAcentral